UUCCGGUUGAUCCCGCCGGAGGCUACCGCUAUUGGAGUUCGAUUAAGCCAUGCGAGUCGCGAGUCUUAGGGACUCGGCGUACCGCUCAGUAACACGUGGGUAACCUGCCCUAUGCUGGGGGAUAACCUCGGGAAACUGAGAAUAAUACCCCAUAGUUCACCACGCCUGGAACGGUGGGUGGAUGAAAGCUCCGGCGGCAUAGGAUGGGCCUGCGGCGUAUCAGGUUGUAGGGGGUGUAAUGUACCCUCUAGCCAUCUACGCGUACGGGUGUUGGGAGACAUCGCCCGGAGAUGGAUUCUGAGACACGAAUCCAGACCCUACGGGGUGCAGCAGGCGCGAAAACUUGGCAAUGCGAGAAAUCGUGACCAGGGAACUCCAAGUGCAUCGGGUAAGACCGAUGCUUUUCUUGACUCUUCAAAGGUCUUGGAAUAAGGGGUGGGUAAGGACGGUGCCAGCCGCCGCGGUAAUACCGGCGCCUCAAGUGGUAGUCGCUUUUAUUGGGCCUAAAACGUCCGUAGCCGGUUUGGUACAUUCGUGGGUAAAUCAAGGCGCUCAACGUCUUGAAUUCUGCGAGCACGGCCAGACUUGGGACCGGGUGAGGUGUGGGGUACUCUCAGGGUAGGGGUAAAAUCCUGUCAUCCUGAGAGGACCACCUGUUGCGAAGGCGCCACACUAGAACGGAUCCGACGGUCAGGGACGAAGCCUAGGGGCACGAACCGGAUUAGAUACCCGGGUAGUCCUAGGUGUAAACGCUGUGGACUUGAUGUUGGGAGUGCUCCGAGCACCCUCAGUGUCGAAGCGAAGGUGAUAAGUCCACUGCCUGGGGAGUACGGUCGCAAGGCUGAAACUUAAAGGAAUUGGCGGGGGAGCACUGCAACCUGAGGAUUGUGCGGUUUAAUUGGAUUCAACGCCGGA
Molecule: ribosomal RNA, 915 nt
Filed under: uncultured marine archaeon
Lineage: Archaea
Description: bacterial SSU rRNA
Rfam family: Archaeal small subunit ribosomal RNA
Source: RNAcentral